Molecule: long non-coding RNA, 587 nt
Filed under: Trifolium pratense (red clover)
Lineage: Eukaryota; Viridiplantae; Streptophyta; Magnoliopsida; Fabales; Fabaceae
Description: long non-coding RNA (TPRA_LNC012019)
Source: RNAcentral
AAAGAGAAGAAGACUAUUCUAGGGUUUCGCCGUCGCGGUCUUCAUCGGUUAUUCAUGUAUAAUUUUCUUAACUCUUUUGUUAUGUCAAUUAUUAUUNNNNNNNNNNNNNNNNNNNNNCAAUAGAUUAGGAAUUAUAGAUGAUUCUCUUUGAAACUAUCUGAGCCAUGUAACUACGUGUUCUAGUUUAUUCAAUGAAAACUUAUAAUUAUUCAGUUAAUCUCGUGUUUAUUGCUUUUCGCUAAUUGAUCACUUUCGAAUUGAUUUUAAGUUAUAAAUCACUAUUGACCCUAGGGUUUAUACUGGAACUAGAUUAAUUGUUUGUCAAUCGUAAUUGCUAUAGGAAUAUAGAAUUAAUUGGCAUGAUUGUUAAUAUAACGUUCGUUAAAGCUUUUGAUAAUAUUAGUUUCACCUAAGGAAUUAGGGUACUUUAUUUGAUAAAUGGGAUCGAUGAGCCAAGGAAUUGGACUUGAUCUAUUUUGUUAUAUUGUCGUAAUUAUAAGAAUUUCAUUGUUGAGGGCUAGAACCUAGAGUACCAGAUAGGGACAAAGAGAGGAUUCAAAAUAAUUCCUAAUCGUCUUUCUCUCAUN